This 203-nucleotide long non-coding RNA is filed under the name Elaeis guineensis (African oil palm). RNAcentral's name for it is "long non-coding RNA (EGUI_LNC038139)". Lineage: Eukaryota; Viridiplantae; Streptophyta; Magnoliopsida; Arecales; Arecaceae. The record is from RNAcentral.
UUUGAUUAAUUUUAUGCAUAUAAUUUAAUUGCAUAGAAUCCCUUGUUUGAAAUUAAAUAUAUAUUCAUCUCAAAUCAACUUAAGGGCAACAUCCAUUAACAAGAUAAGGUGGGGAUUUCAUCAUCUUUACUUAGUCCAAAAACAACCAACCAGCAUUUCGCAUAAAUUCAAGCCUAAUUAAAAUUAAGUAGACAUUGGCCCCU